This 3744-nucleotide long non-coding RNA is filed under the name Homo sapiens (human). Its description in RNAcentral is "PREDICTED lncRNA (TCONS_00105336)". Lineage: Eukaryota; Metazoa; Chordata; Mammalia; Primates; Hominidae. The record is from RNAcentral.
AUUUGGCCCCGCGGCCCCGUUUUCAAAGCGCAGGUUCCGAUUUCCCGAGAGAUGGCAAAGGCCCUGGCAGGAAGUUUACAGGGUUUAACGUAAACAAGUUCUGGGGGAUUCUUUAAUAAUAAUAAUAGAGAAUUCCGCGUGCGCAGGGCGGGAGGGGGGAGUUGGCCUAAUGCCCCUGUGGGCUCGGCCUGCCGCCGCCGCGGGGCCUCUGACACUGCGCGCCAGGCCAGGUUCCUGAGAGCAGACAGCGCGGGCUGGGAGCGCCGGCAAGGGCGGCCCUCGCGCACCUGGCUGCCAGCCCGCAGGGGGCUCGCACGCAGACCUGCCCUUGCCACCUCAGCGCUCGGGUGCGGGCUGGGGGCGGUGGAGCCACGAAAGGUGGUGCCGAGAGCGGAGCGCAGGACAGCGCAGGAGCCCCGGCGCAUCGCGGCGCGCACAGACCCAGGAUUUGUGAAGAGGUGACCCAAAUUUCAAGACAAUGUUGGAUGCAAACGGAUUUGCCAGCAACUGCAUCACUGUCAAAACCAGCUCUGCCCGUGUCUUCCGAAGAUACCAAGUGAAAUACAUGUAGAUGGGAUUUACAUCUGAAAAACCAAGGCAAGAGGCCAUGGGAAGGGACGGAGGUGGAACAGGACUGGACAGAAGCUGAUAAAUGGUUGUUGCUGAGUACUGGGCAGAUAGGGGUUGGUUAUCCUAUUGUCUUUACUUUCAUAUAUUUUAUUUUUUCUGUAAUAAAACAAAUUAAAAUCACCUGUCGUGACCUCACAGGGGCCAGUGUGGGUUGUGGCGUGAGGCAGGAAGCUCUGCAGAGUUCCUUGGUCAAAAGGAUUAAUUACAAAAGAACUCCAUGAACACCGAGAAGAAGAGAAGGGAAUCCUGGCAUUUAAAGCCACAAAGAAACUUGAUAUGGUCUUGUCUCCUUCUCUCAAUUGACAGUGAGAAACUGAAGACCAGAGAGGGUGAGUGGUUUACUCAGUUUGGCACAACUGACCCCAACCUAGCCCUCCAUGAGGACUGAGCGCAUGAGAGAUCCUGAGCCACAGCCGCCCAGCCCUGCUCCUCUCGAAUUUCUGACCUACAGGAACUGCAAGAAGUAAUGAAAGACUGCUGUUUAAAGCCACUGCAUUUUGGCAUGAUUUGUUAUGCAGUCGUAGAUAACCAGAAAACAUCGGAUUUACAUUUUAAGGUAAACUUUUUAUUGAAACAUCACAUACACACAGAGACGUCCACCAAUUGGCUCGAUGAGCUUUCUCAAAGGAAACACAUUCUCUGAGCAGUGUGCACAUCCAGACACAUCAUCUCCAUCCUCCAGAAGCCCCCUCCUGUUAUCGCCACUCACAGGUCACCCGUCUCCUGACUUGCAGCCACAGAGAUAGUCCUGCCUAAUUCUGAACGUGGUACAAACGGAAUCAUACAGAAUGGGCUUGGCUUCUUUCACUCUGGGCUGUGUUUAUGAGCAUCACCCAGAUUGCUGCAUGGAAGCCAUCGUUUGUUCAUUUUCACCACCAUAGAGUAUUCUACUGUUGAUGGGACAUAGGCUAUUUAUUCCUUCUACUGUUGAGGGACGCAUAGUUAUUUCCAGCUGGAGACUGGUAUAUGUCUCUUGGCUACCUUCUGCAUGCAUUUCUGUUGGAGGUUGUUUCAGGUAUCUCUUAACGUAUAACAGACCACCCUCAAAUUGAGUCCUUGAAACAAUUACCAUUUUCUUCUUUCUCAGGAUUUGGUGCAUGGGAUGGGCUCAGUUGGGCAGUUCUUCUGUUCCAUGUGAUGGUACUGGGGCUGCAGUCAUUCAGAGGCUCAACUGGGCUGAACGUGCAAGGUUUCUUGCUCACGUGGCCAUCAGUGGUGCUGGCUGCUGUUGGGAGCUCCACUGGACUUCUGUCCAGAGCUCCUCAGCUCACCUCUCUGUAUCCUUGCCCUGUGGCUCAGGCUUCUAACAAUACAGAGGCUGGAUUCCAAGAGGAGGGAAUUAGAAGCGUUCAGCCUUCUUAAGACCAGGAUUCAGAUGUCCCAGACUGUCACUGUAUUGACCGGAGCAUUUACAGGCCAGCCUAGUAAUUUUUCCAUCUUGGGCAGGAAUGGGUGGCAUAUGCUGGGGGUAGGGGUAGCAUUGUUGGGGAUCAUCUUUGGAGCUGUGUGCCAAGGAGUAAAUUGCUGGGCUGCUUUCUACCUGAGGAAGUCCACUAUGCUUGCUUGUGGAGAGUGGAUUGUGUGCUCAGAGUCCACAAGGAUUUAAGAAUCCGAGCCCUGCUGCCCUUGCCUCAGCCUGUGCAUUAGGGCCCGGUGGUGAGAGCACUGAGCCAUUGUGAAUCAAGGCCCCUCCCUCGACCUGCAUACUAACAGGCCAGAAGAGCUUGCUUGAUUUUGGUCCUAGGCUCCUGCCUGUGGGUUGGAUUCCAGGGGCACUCUCUCCUCCACAAACCAGACGGUGGCAGGUACAUCCCCUCAAUGGAAAUUGCCCACACUUCACCCUAAAGACAGAUCCUGCUGUUCAGCAACAAUGUGAGUGGCCCACACAUUUGUCCAGCAUGAAACCGUUUGCAGAUUCCUUUCCAGUACACAGUCCCGUCAGCCGGUCACUUCACGAUGACAGCUCCUCGAAGCACCUUUUGGUUUGCAGUUGUGUAGCUUAGAAGUAGGAGCCUGCACGGCUUCAGGAAUUCACAGAAGGAGCACACUUUGUGCUUGGAGAAGUUAAUUAUAGGAAUAUCCUGCAACCUGCUGCUCUGAGCCUGUGCACCUGGGGUGUUUCCCUGGAGGUCCUGUGUAUGAGGAUACUCAUCAGCAUGGGGUUUGGGAAGCCUAGCAGUGGAGACAACCUAGGUGGUCCUCUCCAGGGGAGUAGGUAAGAGCCCUACAGCAGUGAAAAGCAUUGAAGGAAAAGUGUGUUCAGCAGUGCUCUUAAUCUGAUCAGAGCAGCCUGAACACAUUCUAAACACAGGGCAUUUAGAACUAGGGUAGAGGCACUAGAGCACCAUAGAUACAAACUCAGAUUCUGAAGGUAAAUGCCCAGGUUCAAAUCCAAGCCCCCUCGCCAAGUGACCAUGACUCCCCCGAGUCACCUGACCUCUGUGUUUACAUCCUCAAAGUUAAGUAGUCAGGAAAGGGGGCUUGGGGCUUGCCACAUGGAUGGUUGCCACUCUCCUUUGCAAAGUGUAGUCCCCAAAAACAGGUGGAAGAGGGAAGGGUCCAAUUAGAAGGCCGAGUACCAGCUGCCAUGAAUAUGCCAGAGCUGCUGGCUAGUGAUAAAUAACUGAAACCCAGGGGGACAGCAGAGCUUGGGUGACCAUACAUUCUAGGAAAGAAAACAUGCCUGUUGUCCUGGCUUUUUAUCCAGCUUAGACAAAGAUGGGCAAAGAAAAUAAUUUAGAAAAUGGUAGAGAUGGGCACAGAGAAAGGGCACGGAGGGAGGCACAAACAGAAGGCCAAGUGAUGGUGGAGGCAGACAUUGGAGAAAUGCCUUUACAAGCCGGGGAAUGCCAAGGAUGCUGGCAACCCUGGGAGUGGGAAGAACCUGGAACACACCCUCCGUCAGAGUCUCCAGAAGGAACUGGCCCUUCAUCACCUUUCGGACUUCUGGCCUCCAGAACUGGGCAAGAAAAUGUUUCUGCUGUUGGAGGCCAUCCAGCUGGUGGUCAUUUGUUAUGGUUGCCACAGAAAACGAAUAUAGAUUUAGACAUCUAAUUUGCAUAUAUAGAUAUGCAUGUGUAUUUGUUAAAUAAAAGAUAAAGCAUGACAACUCGA